AUGAACUACAGAGGCAAGGGCAAUGUUGAUAAGUGGCUCCAUAUGCUCAUGGACGACCAACAAGAAGGAAAUGAAGCGGCAUACCGUUCCUCAGAAGAUUACAAUGCCACCGAGAAGAACGGUUCGGACGAUGAGCAAGAAAUUCAAAGCAGAAUCGACGAUGACGAGAGCUGCAGGAAUGAGAUCACCGAAUGUGUUGAUGAGAUCACUGAAAGUGUUGACAAGAUCGUCGACGUCGGCGGCACCCCAAGAUGCAGGGAUAGCUUUGACAUCAAGGAGGAGAAAGUGGAAAGGAAGAUCUGGUUCCCGAGGUCCGACAGCGGUAGGGGUUUCCGGUCCCUGCCAUCCUCUCCUUCCAAGAUCCUGGGAAUGAGAAGCAGGAAACCUAAGGUGGGUCGCGACGAUGAUCACAGAUACGGCUACGAGGAUUCUGUAUCUACGAGCAGCAGCAAGUUCCUCAGCAAAUGCAAGCAGGCGAUCAAGAAAACGGUACACAAAUGA
RNAcentral lists this ribosomal RNA (501 nucleotides) under Triticum aestivum (bread wheat). RNAcentral's name for it is "partial small subunit ribosomal RNA". Lineage: Eukaryota; Viridiplantae; Streptophyta; Magnoliopsida; Poales; Poaceae. The record is from RNAcentral.